RNAcentral lists this non-coding RNA (211 nucleotides) under Vagococcus lutrae. RNAcentral's name for it is "T-box sequence". It matches the Rfam family "T-box leader". From Rfam's summary of the family: Uncharged tRNA acts as the effector for transcription antitermination of genes in the T-box leader family. The record is from RNAcentral. Lineage: Bacteria; Bacillati; Bacillota; Bacilli; Lactobacillales; Enterococcaceae.
ACAUUUACGAUGAAGAGGAGUAGUAAAAGAGGCCUUCUUUCAGAGAGUGCAUGGUCGGUGAAAAUGCAUAGUAAGAAAUCUUUGAACUUACCUUGGAGAUAGUCAGUUGAUAAGGCUGAUUCGUUUAGCAACGUUAUAUGCUGAGAGUCAUCUAUUGUAGUGUGAUAGAUGAAAAAUUAGGUGGUACCACGUCGAAACGAACGUCCUAUAA